AUGGCCAUGUCACAUUGAAACAAUACUUCCCAUAUGAUCAUCGAAGUUAAGCAAUGUCAAGCCUGGUCAGUACCUGGAUGGGUGACCACUUGGGAAUACCAGGUGCUGCAAG
Acanthosepion pharaonis is the source of this 112-nucleotide non-coding RNA. Lineage: Eukaryota; Metazoa; Mollusca; Cephalopoda; Sepiida; Sepiidae. The record is from the annotation of a GenBank genome assembly.